This 472-nucleotide ribosomal RNA is filed under the name uncultured bacterium. Its description in RNAcentral is "partial 16S ribosomal RNA". It matches the Rfam family "Bacterial small subunit ribosomal RNA", at positions 29 to 507 of the family's 1533-position model. The record is from RNAcentral.
AUAAACGCUGGCGGCGCACAUAAGCCCUGCAAGGUGAACGGACUUAAUCGAAAUAUUUAUAUUUUGAAGCGGUGAGUGGCGGACUGGUGAGUAACGCGUAAGGAACCUGCCUAGUAGAGGGGAAUAAAAGUGAGAAAUAAUUGCUAAUACCGCAUAUGCCAUAGAUAUCACAUGAUAACAGUGGGAAAGGAGAAAUCCGCUAAUAGAUGGCCUUGCGUCUGAUUAGAUAGUGGGUGGGGUAACGGCCUACCAAGUCGACGAUCAGUAGCCGGACUGAGGGGUUGCACGGCCGCAUUGUGACUGAGACACGGCCCAGGCUCCUUCGGGAGGCAGCGGUCGGGAAUAUUGCGCAAGGGAGGAAACUCUGACGCAGUGACGCCUCGUAUAGGAAGAAGGUUUUCGGAUUGUAAACUAUUGUCGUUAGGGAAGAGAAAGGACAGUACCUAAGGAGGAAGCUCCGGCUAACUACGUG